GGCUACGUGGCUUAAUGGUUACGGCUUCUGCCUCACAAGCAGAAGGUUCAGGGAUCAAGUCCCGGUCGGUACCU
Culex pipiens (northern house mosquito) is the source of this 74-nucleotide non-coding RNA. NCBI's taxonomy places the organism in Eukaryota, Metazoa, Arthropoda, Insecta, Diptera, Culicidae. The record is from Rfam.